GACGAACGCUGGCGGCGUGCUUAACACAUGCAAGUCGAACGGUGAAGCGCUUGCCUUUUUGGUGGGUGUGGAUGAGUGGCGAACGGGUGAGUAACACGUGAGUAACCUGCCCUCUUCUUCUGGAUAACCUCAUGAAAGUGGGGCUAAUACGGGGUAUUCCGGGUCUGUCGCAUGGCGGGUUUGGGAAAGAUUGCGCCUUUGGGUGUUUUCGGUGGGGGAUGGGCUCGCGGCCUAUCAGCUUGUUGGUGGGGUGAUGGCCUACCAAGGCGGUGACGGGUAGCCGGCCUGAGAGGGUGGACGGCCACACUGGGACUGAGACACGGCCAAGACUCCUGCGGGAGGCAGCAGUGGGGAAUAUUGCAAAAUGGGCGCAAGCCUGAUGCAGCGACGCCGCGUGAGGGAUGGAGGCCUUCGGGUUGUGAACCUCUUUCGCCAGUGAAGCAGGCCUGCUCCUGUGUGGGUGGGUUGACGGUAGCUGGAUAAGAAGCGCCGGCUAACUACGUG
This 504-nucleotide ribosomal RNA is filed under the name uncultured bacterium. RNAcentral describes it as "partial 16S ribosomal RNA". It matches the Rfam family "Bacterial small subunit ribosomal RNA", at positions 28 to 507 of the family's 1533-position model. The record is from RNAcentral.